RNAcentral lists this long non-coding RNA (1388 nucleotides) under Junco hyemalis (dark-eyed junco). RNAcentral's name for it is "lncRNA (ENSJHYG00000001519.1)". The record is from RNAcentral. Lineage: Eukaryota; Metazoa; Chordata; Aves; Passeriformes; Passerellidae.
GGGAUGAUGUGAUUAUACCUACUAAAAAAGGAGACAAAGUUUAAUUGCAGCAAGAGUGCUUUUGGCUGCACAGUUACCACCCAGGUCCAAAAAUAGGAUUGUAAGUGAUUAGUGUAGCACUCCUGAUGGGGAAAGAAGAGCCAGAAGUGUAAAUAAAAAGGAGAUUUAGGGUUUCUCUAAGCUAUGGCUUCAAACUUGUCAGCAACCUGCGCACAACAUCUCUGUUACUUGAGUUAUGAUGUGAUUCUCUUUUACAGGGAAUGUGUAUCCCAUUUCUGGUUCAGGUCCCUUCCCUCCUUUUGGCAAGUAAAGCUUUUGGGAGAAAACAGUUGCAAGAGGUUUGAAGCACACACGGGGAGAGCAAGAGCAGAAUUGUCUACCAUCUCAGAAGCAUUGUGGGGAUUGCAACAUGGAGGAGACUAAUUAAUCAAGCACAAGACAUGAUCAGCCUGUGUAAUAUCACAGACCAAAAAUGUGGACCCCUGUAUGUCUGUUUAUCCAUUAUCAUAUUAUUUUCCAGUUUCUAUUUCUUUCUACAAAACAUUGAUUUUUCAUCCAUGCAUGUCGUGCCUCAAUACUGUGCAUAUAAUUCAAUAACUCUUCUGAAGUUUGGCAGGUUUCCAACUGCCCUUGUGUCAUCUUUAUGAAAUUUGAAAACAUUAGAGUUGUACAUAUUAUCUUUUGAAGUGAUGAUGUGAUUCAUUAUCCUGCAGCUCUCAUUACCCACAAGGGGCUAAGAAAUUUAUAUCAUAUGCAAACUCAACUGUUUAGUGGUUUGUCCAGGGGCAAUGCUAGGGUCAAAAUUAAAAAUGUUGAACCUCUCUCUUCCAUCUUUUAUGCUCCCUGCCCUCUCUUUAUUAGCAAGAUCUCUGUAAGAUAUAAACAAACAAACCACCGAAAAAAUUGCUUUUAGUCUUUAUAGACUUAAAGGAAUAUCUCACCCAAUAGAAAAAAGUCAGUAUUCAUUCAAAAGAGCUGAAAUUCAUCACAAUGCUAUUUUAGGAAUUGUAUUAAAUAAUUCUUUUCAAGCUUUUCGUUGUACCAAUGCUAAAAAACAUAUUUCUUCACCACCAAUAUCACUCCACCCUUUGCUAAGUGUUGUAGAUGAGGGCUCAGUGAGCUUUCAAGGUGAGGUUGUCUGACUGAUCCCCCACCCUCUGGAGGCUCAGGGGUUGGUCUCUGGGCUUAACCUCCAGGUGGCACUUGCUAUAUUCUUGUCAGUAACUCUUUGUCUGCUGGCUGGGGGUGCUGGAAACCUUUGCCAGCAAAGUUUUCUUUCUUCCCAAUCUUGUUGGGAUGCUGGGCUGGACAGGCAGGUCUGUGCUAGUAAAUAAUGCCAGGCUGGGGAAGGACUCAGGCCUGAGCUCACGAGUGCCUGUAGUGCUCUG